Molecule: ribosomal RNA, 493 nt
Filed under: uncultured bacterium
Lineage: Bacteria
Description: bacterial SSU rRNA
Rfam family: Bacterial small subunit ribosomal RNA
Source: RNAcentral
GAUGAACGCUAGCUACAGGCUUAACACAUGCAAGUCGAGGGGAAACGACAUCGAAAGCUUGCUUUUGGUGGGCGUCGACCGGCGCACGGGUGAGUAACGCGUAUCCAACCUGCCCACCACUUGGGGAUAACCUUGCGAAAGUAAGACUAAUACCCAAUGAUAUCCCACGAAGGCAUCCGAAUGGGAUUAAAGAUUUAUCGGUGAUGGAUGGGGAUGCGUCUGAUUAGCUUGUUGGCGGGGUAACGGCCCACCAAGGCAACGAUCAGUAGGGGUUCUGAGAGGAAGGUCCCCCCACAUUGGAACUGAGACACGGUCCAAACUCCUACGGGAGGCAGCAGUGAGGAAUAUUGGUCAAUGGGCGAGAGCCUGAACCAGCCAAGUAGCGUGCAGGACGACGGCCCUAUGGGUUGUAAACUGCUUUUAUAAGGGAAUAAAGUGGGUCACGUGUGACUUUUUGUAUGUACCUUAUGAAUAAGGACCGGCUAAUUCCGUG